This 365-nucleotide long non-coding RNA is filed under the name Carica papaya (papaya). Its description in RNAcentral is "long non-coding RNA (CPAP_LNC004287)". Lineage: Eukaryota; Viridiplantae; Streptophyta; Magnoliopsida; Brassicales; Caricaceae. The record is from RNAcentral.
AUCUCUUCUCCUAAGGGUGGUCACUUGAUCCCACCAAACAAGUACAUAAUCUGUGAACUCGACUGCUGCUAGCUUUACUUUCUUCGCUUCACUAUAGUUGUGACAGAAAAAGAUCAACUCUACCUUCCAUUCUCAUCUGAGGUAGGUCUUUACAUCAUUCCUUCCUCUGAACGAGGGUAUCUGUAUCUUAAUGGAUCUGAUGUCAUCAACUUCCCUCUGAACUUCUCUUCUAUUGACUUCACUAUUGUCACCAUGGGACUCAUCAUCAUCUCGAUAGUGUCGGCAUCUAGGAUGACUAUAGUUUGUUCCUCCAUCUCUCUCAUCCAUCCUUGUUGUUAUAUCUUCAAUGGUUAAACUCAAUUUAU